CCUACGGGUGGCAGCAGUGAGGAAUAUUGGUCAAUGGACGAGAGUCUGAACCAGCCAAGUAGCGUGAAGGAUGACUGCCCUAGGGGUGGUAAACUUCUUUUAUAUGGGAAUAAAACGUUCCACGUUGGGGAUUUUGUAUGUACCAUAUGAGUAAGGAUCGGCUAACUCCGUGCCAGCAGUCGCGGUAAUACGGAGGAUCCGAGCGUUAUCCGGAUUUAUUGGGUUUAAAGGGAGCGUAGGUGGAUUGUUAAGUCAGUUGUGAAAGUUUGCGGCUCAACCGUAGAAUUGCAGUUGAAACUGGCAGUCUUGAGUACAGUAGAGGUGGGCGGAAUUCGUGGUGUAGCGGUGAAAUGCUUAGAUAUCACGAAGAACUCCGAUUGCGAAGGCAGUUCUCUGGACUGCAACUGACACUGAGGCUCGAAAGUGUGGGUAUCAAACAGGAUUAGAUACCCGAGUAGUC
RNAcentral lists this ribosomal RNA (460 nucleotides) under uncultured bacterium. RNAcentral describes it as "partial 16S ribosomal RNA". It matches the Rfam family "Bacterial small subunit ribosomal RNA", at positions 338 to 795 of the family's 1533-position model. The record is from RNAcentral.